GAGAAACAAGGUGGCGGUCAUUUAUCACACGGACAAUAUUGGCAGUUUUAUUGGAAGGGAAAGCAUCUUCAACUGUAACGAAGCUUCUUAAGAUAGGCAUUAAAGAUGUGACACCAUUAAUGGGGAGUUUUCAAUUAUUAAAGUCUUUAAAGAACAAGAGGAGCUAUUAAAGAAAUGAACUGCUUAUGGAAAUGUUGGGAACAGAGAAUACAUAUAAAAAAGACAGGCCAGGGAUCGGACUGGGUGACCCCAGCUUUUUAUGAUGCAUUUGAAGCAUAUCGAACCACUAAUACACAACAUGGUCAUCACAAAGUGAAAAUGCUGUUUUGUGACAAACUGAACACGAACGACUGAACAUUGUUGUUUAUGAUAAAUUUGAUCCCCUCUAACAUUGUGCAUACAAAGACACAAAUUCCAAAUCAAAUGGAGAUGGUUAAUUGAGCAUGCAGUAU
Nematostella vectensis (starlet sea anemone) is the source of this 452-nucleotide long non-coding RNA. RefSeq lists it as uncharacterized. The record is from RefSeq and is a predicted model, not a curated record. The transcript is spliced from 2 exons. Lineage: Eukaryota; Metazoa; Cnidaria; Anthozoa; Actiniaria; Edwardsiidae.